GAUAAAUAAGCCAUGAAAAGAUAUUUUAAAAGAAAAGAAAUUAUCUCAUAAGAUUCAGAUCUCGAGCAACAACAACAAAAUUCUACUAAUGAUCAUACUCUACAAUCUUCUAAAUAAAGUCAUGUUGAAUUUGAUUUAAGUACUCUUCUGGCAAAUCCUGGAUUAAGGAAAAAAAUUUCUGAGUAUCAUCCUAAUGACAAGGAUGAAAUUAGAAGCACAUAUUUGCAAAAAAGGUCAUAUCAACCUUGCAAUCAUAAGUUUCUUCAAAGAAUUAUUUAUGGGGUUCCUCGUCGAUUUAAUUCUUCUUAGUUUAAUGACUAUAGUAGCUGGUUAAAGUAUAGCAUACAAAAAGAUGUUGCAUUUUGCUUGUGUUGUUAUUUAUUCAAAAAUGAAAUCGAGAAGCAAGGGGGAGGUGAUUCUUUUGUAACUAAAGGUUUCACAAGUUGGAACAAAAAAGAAAGAUUAAAUAUUGAUGUUGGCAAUUGCAAUAGUGCACAUAAUAAAACUUUAAUAGAAAUGCCAAGACUUCAUGAAGUAGAAACAACAUAUUGAUGUAGCACUUUGUAAGCAAACAAAACAAGUUAAAAGAGAUUAUAGAACUCGCUUAAUUGCAUCAAUGGAUUGCAUUAGGUUUCUCUUGUGCCAAGGGGUAGCUUUUUGAAGACACGAUGAAUUUGAAAAUCAACUUGAAAACUAGAUUGCAGACUUGAGUUUGGAUGAGGAAUUUGUUGAAGUAAACAGAAUUGGUGAUCUUGCAAGAAAAAUGGUUGUGACAUAUAGAAAUAUUGUGUAUCCUUUGGUUUAUUUACUAGUAAAACUUGCAUUGAUCUUACCAGUUGCAACAACAUCAGUUAAAAGAGCUUUUUUAGCAAUGAAAUUCAUAAUGCAUAGGCUACGCAAUCAAAUUAGUGACGAGCGGAUGAAUGAUUGCUUAGUGACAUAUAUUGAAAAAAAUGUAUUUGAUAGUGGUUCUACUAAUGUUAUCAAGCAACAUUUUCAAAAUAUAAAAAAUCAUUGUUGACAAUUAUAGUUCUUUUAGAUAUUUUUACUUUAAAGUAUUAAAUGAAUGUAUUGAAUUUGCAUUUUCUUUAAUUUAACAUUAAAACUUCUACUUUAUGAAUUUUAACAUAUUUAUUUUUUUAAUUAUUAUUUUAAUUAUAACAUCACUUAGAAAAAUUCCUAGGUCUACUCCUGUCCAAUUUUGCAACGUCCCUAUUGCAUUAGCUCUUUACCCGUAGAAAAAACGGACUCUUACACUAGUACGAGUCUAUUUCGACUCUUGUAUCUCUCAUGGAACUUCACAUCAAUGAAUAUUUGAGUUUGGUCUUAUACCAAAUCUCACAAACCGAAACUUAAGUCUAAUCUCGACCUUCUAUCUCUCAUGGGACUCCACAUUAAUGAAGAUCUAGGUCUAGUUUGAUACCAAAUCUCAUGGGUCGAAACUUAGGUCUAACCUCAUGCAGUCUUAAACACUAAAAAUAGAGUUUAAGUAAGUCUAUAAAUCACGGGCUUACGUUCUCAACUCAAAAAACAUGUUUAAUAAAUGAUGAAAUACCCAUGUUUAUAUUCUCAAGACUUACCACAUGUCACGACCCGGAACUCCCAUCGAGUUCGUAACAACCGUCUCGACAUCCCGAUAAACAUUCAUUACCCGAAAUGUCAAUCGAAACCUCGCAAGGCUUAACAUCAGUUUUUCUCGCUUCCCUAGUGAGUAUUAGUUGCUAAAAUCAUGUUUUGAGAGAUUAUAAAAUAUUUUCAAUUCAAAACAAUAGAAAAAUAAAUUUUCCUCACAGGGGCAUUUUGGUCAUUUUUCUUCAAAAAUCUCGAAAUCCGCUAAAAAUGUAGUAAGCGAGUACAAAACAUAGAAUUCAUAAUUAAAAUGAGUUUUAAAGUCUAAAAUUUUCAUUUAAAACGAAAUUGCGAUUAUUUGGAUAUAACAAAAAAAUAAAAGAAAUAUUAAGUAAAAUAUUCUAUUUUUUUAUAAAAUAAUAUUUAUAGAGUUAUACGUAAAUAAUUUUGUAGUGUAAAAGCUAAAUAAAUUCAUACAUACUGUAAUACAGUAAGUCAGAGUAUGUAAUUUAAUUUACAAUAACAAGAGAGCCCCCGAAUAAACAAAAGUAAAGAGGACUGUGAAUUUACAGUUUGGAAAAUACAGAUCUAACGGUAGUCCUCGAUGAGAUCAGCUAUCUACAGUUUAUACUGAACUCGAAAUGGAUGGAAAUGAGGGUGGUGAGAUUAUAAAAUCUCAAUGAGUAAACAGACAUCAUCAUAAACAUCUAGAGUUGAGUACAUGAAGACAAUAAAGUAAAUCAUCGUAAAUUGGGUAAUAGUAUUAGAAUACAUUUCAUUUAAAAUACAUGAAGAGACUUAUGAAUCUCAUAACAACUAGACUUGUGCCAUAAAUCCAUUCUCAAGGACACCUUAGCCGAGGCAUCCUAUCGAGACCGCCAAGGCUAUUAAAAUUCACACUUCACAUAAAUCAUGUUUUUGUUUUGAAAACAUAGCCGUUCCUUAGCUUUAGUUGAGUUCCCCCUCACGUGGUGGUUUGGUAAGAAGUGAACCCUAAGCUUUAUCCCAAGAGAUACCCUACGCGCAUCUCCGUUCGAGGUAAGAAUAUAAUGAGGUUUACCGUGCCCCUCUAAAAGGCUGGUCCACAAAAACCCCUACUGUAGUGAUUAAUUAAUAUAUAAUCCACCAUAUAAUAAAAUUUUAACGGCAUGACAGGGCUAAUGAAACACUACUCAGCUUGCAAGGGUAAAAUAAAACAAUUCAUACAAUUCAUAAAAUACAGCCCAACCAGUCAUGCCAACACAAUAACAAUAUAACAUAAGCCAUCAAUUUAAACAAUCAAAUUGCCACAAUUAACAGUCUCUGUGUACUCUAUUUUUUUCAAAAUCGUUAUUAGUUUCAAAACAAUUUAUAAUUUAAUUUCAUUAGAUCACCUUUAUUCAUAGAACAUGAAAAUUUACCUUUUAAAUCCAUUUUUUCAUAGAAUUCAUGAAAUCAUCUAAAAAUCACUUUAGAUAAUUAAAAUGACAGUAAGUUUACUCACAAUAUCUAGAAUGCAGACUUUUGAAGUACUCUGUCUAGUGGUCCUUGGAUGCAAUUUCCUUGCUUUUAUCGGAGGACUCACCACCUUGACAUAGUACAAAAUUGAAAAAUUCACCACAUUGAUACUAAAUUGAAAUUAAACUAAUUUAGGCUACUAAUGCAUGAUAUAGAAUGCAAAAAUGUCCGAAUAGUUGUUUAAAUACGGUAUUUGACCUAAUCCGCACUAUUCUCGAUCUAAUCGGCUAAAAUCUUUAAUUUAACUUCAAAUCGAUUCUUUUCACUUUCUACACUCUAAUUAUACCUAAAUUACCUCAGUGACUGUGAAUGAGGUUCAAUUUAUCGAUCCCGGAUCAAUAACAUGUCUAUAUGUUGAGCAAAAAUUCGUAUUUUCGCACCAAAAUUUCUCAUUUAAUUUUUAGCCUCACCAAACAUCAAAUAUCAUCAAAAUAUCAUGAAAUAUCAUCAAAUUCAGCUACAAUAUUCUCCCUAGGAAAUUUCGCCAAUGAUGGUAAUGGGGGAAAAUGAAUUCUUUUCUUGUUGUUUUGUUUCUAAAUAUGCUAAACUAACUUAAAACACUAACAUAACUUAAAAUCAAAUCAAUCUAACUUCAUUCUCUCUCCAUACCCAUUUGGGCAGCCAUGAAUUCACCAUGAAAACAUGAAAUCUAACCAUGGAAAAUAAGGAGAAAAGCAUGAGAAAGGUAGAUCACAAGUCAAAAUCAAGAAAUUUUGCCUUUGAUUGCUUGAUUCCUUGAAAUCCCAUACUUUUUCUUUAAUUUUCCCACAUAGGUUUCUUGUUUUUCUUUUCCUCUCUUUGUUCUUGCUAUGGCCGGC
Molecule: long non-coding RNA, 3884 nt
Filed under: Theobroma cacao (cacao)
Lineage: Eukaryota; Viridiplantae; Streptophyta; Magnoliopsida; Malvales; Malvaceae
Description: long non-coding RNA (TCAC_LNC000823)
Source: RNAcentral